RNAcentral lists this transfer RNA (67 nucleotides) under Marmota monax (woodchuck). RNAcentral's name for it is "tRNA.Ala". Lineage: Eukaryota; Metazoa; Chordata; Mammalia; Rodentia; Sciuridae. The record is from RNAcentral.
GGUUGUGGAUCAGUGGUAGAGCACUUGCCUAGCAUGCAUGAGAUACUGGGUUUGAUCCCAGGAACCA